RNAcentral lists this ribosomal RNA (640 nucleotides) under Cortinarius sp. OC10. RNAcentral describes it as "eukaryotic LSU rRNA". It matches the Rfam family "Eukaryotic large subunit ribosomal RNA", at positions 1 to 624 of the family's 3401-position model. The record is from RNAcentral. Lineage: Eukaryota; Fungi; Basidiomycota; Agaricomycetes; Agaricales; Cortinariaceae.
UGACCUCAAAUCAGGUAGGACUACCCGCUGAACUUAAGCAUAUCAAUAAGCGGAGGAAAAGAAACUAACAAGGAUUCCCCUAGUAACUGCGAGUGAAGCGGGAAAAGCUCAAAUUUAAAAUCUGGCAGUCUUUGGCUGUCCGAGUUGUAAUCUAGAGAAGUGUUAUCCGCGCUGGACCGUGUACAAGUCUCCUGGAAUGGAGCGUCAUAGAGGGUGAGAAUCCCGUCUUUGACACGGACUACCAGGGCUUUGUGAUGCGCUCUCAAAGAGUCGAGUUGUUUGGGAAUGCAGCUCAAAAUGGGUGGUAAAUUCCAUCUAAAGCUAAAUAUUGGCGAGAGACCGAUAGCGAACAAGUACCGUGAGGGAAAGAUGAAAAGAACUUUGGAAAGAGAGUUAAACAGUACGUGAAAUUGCUGAAAGGGAAACGCUUGAAGUCAGUCGCGUCGUCCAGGGAUCAACCUUGCUUUUGCUUGGUGCACUUUCUGGUUGACGGGUCAGCAUCAAUUUUGACCAUUGGAAAAAGAUCAAGGGAAUGUGACAUCUUUGGAUGUGUUAUAGCCCUUGGUUGCAUACGAUGGUUGGGAUUGAGGAACUCAGCACGCCGCAAGGCCGGGUUUUUAACCACGUACGUGCUUAGGAU